Molecule: transfer RNA, 84 nt
Filed under: Lwoffella lincolnii
Lineage: Bacteria; Pseudomonadati; Pseudomonadota; Gammaproteobacteria; Moraxellales; Moraxellaceae
Description: Moraxella lincolnii tRNA-Tyr
Rfam family: tRNA
About the family: Transfer RNA (tRNA) molecules are approximately 80 nucleotides in length. Their secondary structure includes four short double-helical elements and three loops (D, anti-codon, and T loops). Further hydrogen bonds mediate the characteristic L-shaped molecular structure. tRNAs have two regions of fundamental functional importance: the anti-codon, which is responsible for specific mRNA codon recognition, and the 3' end, to which the tRNAs corresponding amino acid is attached (by aminoacyl-tRNA synthetases). tRNAs cope with the degeneracy of the genetic code in two manners: having more than one tRNA (with a specific anti-codon) for a particular amino acid; and 'wobble' base-pairing, i.e. permitting non-standard base-pairing at the 3rd anti-codon position.
Source: RNAcentral
GGUGGGAUUGGGGAGCGGUCAAACCCAGCAGACUGUAAAUCUGCCGCGAAAGCUUCGAAGGUUCGAAUCCUUCUCCCACCACCA